UACGGGGGGGGCAAGCGUUGUUCGGAAUUACUGGGCGUAAAGGGCCAGUAGGCGGCCAACUAAGUCGGAUGUGAAAUCCCCAGGCUUAACCUGGGAACUGCAUCCGAUACUGGAUGGCUUGAAUUCGGGAGAGGGAUGCAGAAUUCCAGGUGUAGCGGUGAAAUGCGUAGAUAUCAGGAGGAAUACCGAUGGCGAAGGCAGGUCUCUGGGCUGACACUGACGCUCAUGCACGAAAGCGUGGGGAGCAAACAGG
RNAcentral lists this ribosomal RNA (253 nucleotides) under uncultured bacterium. RNAcentral describes it as "partial 16S ribosomal RNA". It matches the Rfam family "Bacterial small subunit ribosomal RNA", at positions 524 to 776 of the family's 1533-position model. The record is from RNAcentral.